This 1076-nucleotide long non-coding RNA is filed under the name Oryctolagus cuniculus (rabbit). RNAcentral's name for it is "lncRNA (ENSOCUG00000032223.1)". The record is from RNAcentral. Lineage: Eukaryota; Metazoa; Chordata; Mammalia; Lagomorpha; Leporidae.
AUGACAUCCUGGACGACGACGGCCACAGCCUCAAGGGUGGAACAGACGAACCCAAGGCCCUGUUCCGUGUCUUCCAGAGGCGAGAGAGAACGCUCCAGAGUGAGCGCCCCGUCAGGGCUGACGCAGCUGGGCGGCCCCAGCCCCCAGGACGCCGAGGACGCCGGGGCGGCUCUGGCUUGUGUCAGCCAAGCCCAGCAGCCGGGGGAGGCAGCAGCUGGGCGUCCAGGUGUGUGCGGCUGCCUCCCCUCUCCCAGCCACAGCCUCUGCACCUGCACCAAAGAGGACAACAGGUCCUCCUCGUGGUGUCGCGUCAGCACUCGCGCGAUGGUGCGGCGGCAACGGCGAGCGGGGGGAGGCGGCGCAUGGCCCGAGGCCCCCAGCAAGGGCCGGGCCCACCCAGGACAGGGAGUGGGGCUUUCAGUGGCCACUCUGUGGAUCCUCUGUCCCCAAAUGCAGGGCUUUUGGAGGGGAGUGUUGAGAACUCGGGGUCCUAUCAGGGGACCCGGGGCCAUGACCCACCCUCUGCUCUGACUCUCCAGGGAGGCCCUGCACGCGGGCGGUGGCAAGAGACGGCGCAGCCUCGGUCGGCAGCGUGGGGACCCGGGGCCAGGACCCCCAGCCCUUAGCGAGGUCAUCUCACACCCCGGGGGCGUCCAGGCCUCCUGCACCCCCCCAUGGGGUUCUCAGGAAGAGGAGGAGGGGCUUGAGUUCUGAGCCAUUUCAGAAACGACAGACGGGCAGAGAAGCCGCAACGCUUGCUCUCAGGGCCCAGCUGGAGUCUGCAGCUUCCAUCCGAGUUGAGGAGGCUCUGGACCACCGAGGCCACCACCCCCUGCCCCACUUCCCAUCCGGCUCCCUGCUAUGGCCUAGGAUGCAUCAGAGGACGGCCCAAGGGCUUGGGCCCCUGCACCCACGUUGGAGACCUGGAAGAAGCUCCUGGCUCCUGGCUUCGGCCAAGUGCAGAACUUGGGGCAUGAACUAUCAGAGGGAAGGUGCUCUCCCUCUCCCUCUCCCUCUCCCUCUCCCUCUCCCUCCCCCUCUCCCUCUCCCUCUCCCUCUCCCUCCCCCUCUCCCUC